Molecule: ribosomal RNA, 253 nt
Filed under: uncultured bacterium
Lineage: Bacteria
Description: partial 16S ribosomal RNA
Rfam family: Bacterial small subunit ribosomal RNA
Source: RNAcentral
CACGGGGGGAGCAAGCGUUGUUCGGAAUCACUGGGCGUAAAGGGCGUGUAGGCGGUCAGGUAAGUGAGAUGUGAAAUGCCCCGGCUCACCCGGGGACCGGCAUCUCAUACUGCUUGGCUUGAGUACUGAAGAGGGUCGCGGAAUUCCCGGUGUAGAGGUGAAAUUCGUAGAUAUCGGGAGGAACACCAGUGGCGAAGGCGGCGACCUGGGCAGAUACUGACGCUGAGGUGCGAAAGCGUGGGGAGCAAACAGG